GCGCAUAUAUUUUUGCUGCAAUUUGCUACGGCCCCUAUAAUGGAAUUAUACCACAAAAUAGUACUUUUAUUUGAAUUGUGAUGUUUUAUACGAUAAAUAACACCAAGAUUGAAAAAUUCUUAAGCAUACAAGUCUUGCACAAUGAAAAUAUUUAAAUUACCUUUGCAAACCUAACUUAACAUACUAUGUCACUUUAUGUUUCUCUUUAUAUAAGUAAUGUACAAUUUUCAUUAUUUAUAAUAUAAUAAAUUAUGUUGAUUUAGGGCCACUUUAACCCUGCAAGAAGUAUAAAUGUAUACUUAAAACAAACAGUUUAAGAAAUUGUGAUUUUAAACAUAGCAUUAAGAAAAUAUCAUCCAAAUAUAAAAAAAAGUUGCUUUUUACUGAUUCUUGAAUUUUUUCAGUUUCGUUUCAUUUCUUUCAAGUGAAUUUGAAGGAAUGUUUUGUACAUAAUUGUUCAAACAUAUAUUUAGAAAUCCUAACGACACUCAUGUUUAUUAUCUUGUACAGCAAAUUACAUUCACAGCAUCUUUUAUUAAUACGUACAUACUAUAUUACAAAAAUAACUGAGAUGAGCCUCAGUUAUUUUUGUAAGAAGCUGAUGGUGUAGAUGAAAUGCUUUUCGUACUUUUCAGAUAUAAUAGUCUGGAAAAGUAAAUAUGCAACUGAUAUCAAUGCCACCAUAUUUUCUGCUGGGUCUUUGAAACCUCCCAAAUUUUACAGUAUCAAUAUAUACAUAAUUUGUUUCCACUAAUGUUCCAUUUUUUCCGCCAAGAUGCAGAAAUCUAUGCAAGCACUUUAGUUAGUUUCAAUAUUACUUGCACAAUAAACAGCAAUUGUAUGUGAAAACUUCUGCAACAGUGUCUGAAACUGCAACCAAUUUCACCGACCAUUGGAAAUAAUUUCAUUGAUUAAUACUUUUAUGAACUUCUUUUACAUCUGAAACUUCUGUAAUAAACUGUUUUAGAGAGAUGUAUCGAUAGGAAUUAGAAUGAAGCUGAAGAAUAGACUUCAAUUAAAUUUUUUUUCUUUUAUAUUCCAGGAUUUGCUGUACUGAAAUAUAGUAACUGCCUUCAGACAUCUGAUGAAAAUCUGUACUCAAAUUUGUGAGUUUGAAAUUUACACGUUAAAAUUAAUUUUGACCUAAUUACUAAAAGUUCUUAAUUCUAUCGAUGAUAGCAUAUAUAGUGUGAAAAAGAGCAAAAAAUAUUUACUUGCGUAAACAUUUGAAAUGACUUUUUUUAUUAUCGUUGUUAUUAAUCUCACUGAUAACACCUACGCUAAUUCAAAUGAAACGCGAAACGCUGGCGAGAAAUUACAAUAUGUUUACCAUCAUUUGUUGGCGAUAAAAAGAAACGGCGCAUGCGCAGUUCGUUCAAAAGAUUUUCUCAUAGGGAGCCGUUCACAGCCAUCCCUGUUUUGAGCCGCUAGUCUAGUAUUCUACUGCAGUAGCGUCCUGCCGCAUUCUUUGGCCUAGGUAAAGCAAUUUAGGAUGCAGACGCUACUAACGAUGAGUAAAAGGGAAACGUUAAAACUGAGGAAGGUUAUACAGGGAAGAAGUUUUUUUUUAAGUAUCUUAAAAGUAAGUUUCGGUAUUUUUAUAAAACAGAUAAAAGAUAAACCCGGAUAGUUGAAGGAAGGAAGUACGAAAUGUAGAAUAUUUUCGAGCCCAUCAAUGAAGAUGUUCGAUUUCGAAUGAUGAGCGCAAUUAAGAUGGUUUGUGGAGAGCAUCAAAAUGGCAGGAUUAAUUUGAAAAGAAGGUUCUUUUUCUGUUCACUAAAUAUAAACAGAAUAUUUGGAAAGAACUGAGCCUAUUGACUAAGGAUAUUCAAGGUUGACAGGUCAUCAAGAUGCGAAAGCUAAAGUUUUGUAUCUUUCUGUAUGUGGGAAAGAAGACCAGACCUUGAUUAAUUUUGGGAUCAUUCUUCAGCAUUAAAAUCAAUUAGCUGUAUGGAUAGGUUAUUUGGCUGCAACAACUUGGCUUUAUAAUGUAUUAGGGGCAGCCUAGCAAUAGCAGAAUUGUACUUUGUGAUAGUUCGAAAAAUAUCAUUAAGAUGCAUUUCAGUUUUAUCUUUCAGAUGCUGCAUGUAUUAUAAUUUUAGAUUUAAUGAUAUAAUUCUUUGUUUUUGUACUAGACUGCUCUACUUACUUGGCUUUUGGAAUAUUUGACUAAAGCUGUAUAAUUCAGCAUAUAGAUAAUUAUACAAGAAGUAAUUAAAAAGCAUGAAUAUGAAUUGCAAAUUAAUUCCAGUCUUGUAGUUUUUAGUAUAAAAUAUCUAAGAAAAAUUUAUUGCUUUAUUUCAAUUAUUUCUGUUUGUAAGAUGUAUUUCUCAGUAAUCUCUUAUGUAAUACAAAUCAAGGUACUAUUCUUAAAAGUACAUAUGAUGAAGGAGACUUUUUCUUAUAGUUUCUAAUAAAAUUCCUUUUUCACUGGUCCAUGAAAUAACAGUUCAAGAUUGUUCUGAAAACCCUGUACAUUGUUAAUAUAUGAGUAAACUUCUGCAUGUUUCAUAUAGGUUUCAUAUAUGUAUAUAAAGUAGUAGUUAAUGUGUUUCCUAAAAUUUGAGUUUUCUUUUGGAAGUUAUCAAAAAUCCAUAGAUUCAAAAGAAAAUGCUUGUAUAAAGGAACCUGUCUAAUAACUAGAAAUCAAAUAUUUGGUUGCAUAUUUGUUUUUUAUGGUACUUGCGUAUUUUUCCAUUGACCAUGAAAGUUGCUUGCGGCAAUCAUUCUGGCAGAAGUUCGAAGAAAUGCGUCGCUCCUGCUUUAGUUAUAUUAUCACAAAUUGCUUUUUAUUUAAUAAGGUAGUUAAUAGAUUGCAUUUAAAUUAAUUAGAUAAUCAACAGUUCAAUAAGUUUAUAAUAUAGCUUAUAAAGACCUUAAAUGAAUACAAGUUCAAACUUUGAGAUUUUCUAACAAGUAAAGAUUUAAUCAUUCUUAACAGCAUUUAAAUAGCAAUAUUUGGUACUUUUCCGUUUUGCCGGCACAAGCGAUAAAGUUGCCAAUAAUGGUAAAACCGAUGCCAAACGGAAUAUUCUCGCUGGUAACCUUUUACGCCUCAUUUUCAAAACAAGUCGCAGC
This 3078-nucleotide long non-coding RNA is filed under the name Stegodyphus dumicola. RNAcentral describes it as "uncharacterized LOC118181023". Lineage: Eukaryota; Metazoa; Arthropoda; Arachnida; Araneae; Eresidae. The record is from RNAcentral.